UGCAAGUCGAACGGAAAGGCCCUGCUUGCAGGGUACUCGAGUGGCGAACGGGUGAGUAACACGUGGGUGAUCUGCCCUGCACUUCGGGAUAAGCCUGGGAAACUGGGUCUAAUACCGGAUAGGACCAUCGUUUAGUGUCGGUGGUGGAAAGUUUUUUCGGUGUGGGAUGAGCUCGCGGCCUAUCAGCUUGUUGGUGGGGUAAUGGCCUACCAAGGCGUCGACGGGUAGCCGGCCUGAGAGGGUGGACGGCCACAUUGGGACUGAGACACGGCCCAAACUCCUACGGGAGGCAGCAGUAGGGAAUCUUCCACAAUGGACGCAAGUCUGAUGGAGCAACGCCGCGUGAGUGAAGAAGGCUUUCGGGUCGUAAAACUCUGUUGUUGGAGAAGAAUGGUCGGCAGAGUAACUGUUGUCGGCGUGACGGUAUCCAACCAGAAAGCCACGGCUAACUAC
RNAcentral lists this ribosomal RNA (453 nucleotides) under uncultured bacterium. Its description in RNAcentral is "bacterial SSU rRNA". It matches the Rfam family "Bacterial small subunit ribosomal RNA", at positions 56 to 504 of the family's 1533-position model. The record is from RNAcentral.